UGUGUGUGUGUGUGUGUGUGUGUGUGUGUGUGUGUGUGUAACGGAGCAGCAGCCACAUCACACAGCGCUUCUCCGCUGCAUUCUCGCAGCUCUCCUUUCAUCUCAGCGCGGGGAAGUAACGGAGCGCGAGCCCGACGAGGGGACAUUAUGUCUCACCUCUGAGUCUUUUACUGCAACAUUAUUUUCUUCUCUUUCUCUUCUUCAUCGUCAUCUUUUUCUCCUUCUCUCCACCAUCUGCGGCUUGGAGCUGCUUCAACUCCACUGAGCUGGAGAUUUAUUAUUAUUAUUUGAAACUUUAUUUAUUAUUUAAAUUUUGUUUUGUUUAAAUUCUCACGCCCUCGGUCUCCGGGAGGAUCACGAGGCGGAAAAAAAGUUUAUAAAUGGCUGCUUUAAGAAGACUCUGUGGUUGUGAUCAUUCUCCUUUCACAAGUUUUGACCAGCAAUGAAAUCAAACUUCAAAAAAAGAUUAAGAGAUUUUCUUUAAUCGGAGAUUUGCAUGCAUUACCGUAUGUAGAGGAAGGUACUUUUCAAUUGCUCAUGCAAAACCAGAACUGUGACGUGUUACACCGAUCACAAUGUUCCUGUUCUCUGUUCUGAGGAAUUAUAGCCUAUGGUAUGGGGCUUUUUUCCUCCCCGGUGCUUGGACCCCUAAUAAUUGCUAGCGUUAAUUAAUAAUGAAGAGAGUAAUAGAGAAGCAGUUCAUUUCCUGAGAGCUGCAAAACGGUCACAGCUUCAUAUUCAUGCUCUCUAAUAGCAGCAGCUCACUCACAUGGACUUGUACCAACAUCGAUUUUUUUUCUGCAAGGAGAAGUUUAUUUAACUCCUUAUGUACGGAAGGAGUCUCCAGUGUCAGUGCUGUGUAACACUCAGAGGGUGAAGCUGUAACUUUUCUGAAAUCUUCAGGACGGAGGAGUUUACGCUUCUUAGCAGUUUCUCACGAACAAAAUACACGCUGCAUUUUAUUGUUGCAUUUAUUCGUUUUUUUUCCCCUAUUAACUUGAAGAGAGAGAAGUGGAGUUCACGUGUUCCUCUCCAUGCUUUGGGGUUCCUCCGGUUUCCUCCCUCAAUCCAAAGACAUGUGUAGGCUGAUUGGCAUGUCUAAAUUAUCCAUAGUGUGUGUGUGUGUGUUUGUGUGAGAGAGAGAGAGUGUGAGUAUGUGAAUGUGUGUGAGUGUGAGUGUAUGUGUGUGUGUGUGUGUGUGUGUGUGGGUGGAACGGAAACUGAUAUUCCUAAUCACAGCCAUAAGGAACAGGUUCAUACACUCAGACGAACGAGGAUGACGAGGAUGAAAGCUCUUGUUUGACCUUUUUUUUGGGGGGAGGGGGGUUAGUGAGGAGGUGUGAUUGCGCGGGGUGGUUGCAGUGCUAGUGCCUGAGGUCCUGAGGAAAAAAGAA
Ictalurus punctatus (channel catfish) is the source of this 1394-nucleotide long non-coding RNA. Lineage: Eukaryota; Metazoa; Chordata; Actinopteri; Siluriformes; Ictaluridae. The record is from Ensembl.